RNAcentral lists this ribosomal RNA (2034 nucleotides) under Campylobacter jejuni. Its description in RNAcentral is "partial 23S ribosomal RNA". It matches the Rfam family "Bacterial large subunit ribosomal RNA", at positions 1053 to 2925 of the family's 2925-position model. Lineage: Bacteria; Pseudomonadati; Campylobacterota; Epsilonproteobacteria; Campylobacterales; Campylobacteraceae. The record is from RNAcentral.
UCUUACUUAAGUGGAAAACGAUGUGAAGUUACUUAAACAACCAGGAGGUUGGCUUAGAAGCAGCCAUCCUUUAAAGAAAGCGUAAUAGCUCACUGGUCUAGUGAUUUUGCGCGGAAAAUAUAACGGGGCUAAAGUAAGUACCGAAGCUGUAGACUUGCACACAACUUAGAUUAUUUAAGUUUAGAAUAUGAGAAACUAAGUUAUAUGUUUAGUUAUAUUUUUACUGAUUUUUAUAGAGUAAAGAUAGAAAUAAAACUUAGUAAAAUCAGUAAAAAUAUUCUUAGGCUAAAGUUAAGUAGUUUAAGUUGUGUGCAAGUGGUAGGAGAGCGUUCUAUUUGCGUCGAAGGUAUACCGGUAAGGAGUGCUGGAGCGAAUAGAAGUGAGCAUGCAGGCAUGAGUAGCGAUAAUUAAUGUGAGAAUCAUUAACGCCGUAAACCCAAGGUUUCCUACGCGAUGCUCGUCAUCGUAGGGUUAGUCGGGUCCUAAGUCGAGUCCGAAAGGGGUAGACGAUGGCAAAUUGGUUAAUAUUCCAAUACCAACAUUAGUGUGCGAUGGAAGGACGCUUAGGGCUAAGGGGGCUAGCGGAUGGAAGUGCUAGUCUAAGGUUGUAGGAGGUUAUACAGGCAAAUCCGUAUAACAAUACUCCGAGAACUGAAAGGCUUUUUGAAGUCUUCGGAUGGAUAGAAGAACCCCUGAUGCCGUCGAGCCAAGAAAAGUUUCUAAGUUUAGCUAAUGUUGCCCGUACCGUAAACCGACACAGGUGGGUGGGAUGAGUAUUCUAAGGCGCGUGGAAGAACUCUCUUUAAGGAACUCUGCAAAAUAGCACCGUAUCUUCGGUAUAAGGUGUGGUUAGCUUCGUACUAGGAUUUACUCCGAAAGCGAAGAAACUUACAACAAAGAGUCCCUCCCGACUGUUUACCAAAAACACAGCACUCUGCUAACUCGUAAGAGGAUGUAUAGGGUGUGACGCCUGCCCGGUGCUCGAAGGUUAAUUGAUGGGGUUAGCAUUAGCGAAGCUCUUGAUCGAAGCCCGAGUAAACGGCGGCCGUAACUAUAACGGUCCUAAGGUAGCGAAAUUCCUUGUCGGUUAAAUACCGACCUGCAUGAAUGGCGUAACGAGAUGGGAGCUGUCUCAAAGAGGGAUCCAGUGAAAUUGUAGUGGAGGUGAAAAUUCCUCCUACCCGCGGCAAGACGGAAAGACCCCGUGGACCUUUACUACAGCUUGACACUGCUACUUGGAUAAGAAUGUGCAGGAUAGGUGGGAGGCUUUGAGUAUAUGACGCCAGUUGUAUAUGAGCCAUUGUUGAGAUACCACUCUUUCUUAUUUGGGUAGCUAACCAGCUUGAGUUAUCCUCAAGUGGGACAAUGUCUGGUGGGUAGUUUGACUGGGGCGGUCGCCUCCCAAAUAAUAACGGAGGCUUACAAAGGUUGGCUCAGAACGGUUGGAAAUCGUUCGUAGAGUAUAAAGGUAUAAGCCAGCUUAACUGCAAGACAUACAAGUCAAGCAGAGACGAAAGUCGGUCUUAGUGAUCCGGUGGUUCUGUGUGGAAGGGCCAUCGCUCAAAGGAUAAAAGGUACCCCGGGGAUAACAGGCUGAUCUCCCCCAAGAGCUCACAUCGACGGGGAGGUUUGGCACCUCGAUGUCGGCUCAUCGCAUCCUGGGGCUGGAGCAGGUCCCAAGGGUAUGGCUGUUCGCCAUUUAAAGCGGUACGCGAGCUGGGUUCAGAACGUCGUGAGACAGUUCGGUCCCUAUCUGCCGUGGGCGUAAGAAGAUUGAAGAGAUUUGACCCUAGUACGAGAGGACCGGGUUGAACAAACCACUGGUGUAGCUGUUGUUCUGCCAAGAGCAUCGCAGCGUAGCUAAGUUUGGAAAGGAUAAACGCUGAAAGCAUCUAAGCGUGAAGCCAACUCUAAGAUGAAUCUUCUCUAAGCUCUCUAGAAGACUACUAGUUUGAUAGGCUGGGUGUGUAAUGGAUGAAAGUCCUUUAGCUGACCAGUACUAAUAGAGCGUUUGGCUUAUCUUUAAUAAAGCAU